AUACAGAGGGUGCAAGCGUUAAUCGGAAUUACUGGGCGUAAAGCGCGCGUAGGCGGUUUAAUCAGUCGGAUGUGAAAGCCCCGGGCUCAACCUGGGAACUGCAUUCGAUACUGUUAAGCUAGAGUAUGGUAGAGGGAAGUGGAAUUCCAGGUGUAGCGGUGAAAUGCGUAGAUAUCUGGAGGAACAUCAGUGGCGAAGGCGACUUCCUGGACCAAUACUGACGCUGAGGUGCGAAAGCGUGGGGAGCAAACAGGAUUAGAUACCCGUGUAGUCC
RNAcentral lists this ribosomal RNA (274 nucleotides) under uncultured bacterium. Its description in RNAcentral is "partial 16S ribosomal RNA". It matches the Rfam family "Bacterial small subunit ribosomal RNA", at positions 523 to 796 of the family's 1533-position model. The record is from RNAcentral.